Molecule: non-coding RNA, 17974 nt
Organism: Sus scrofa (pig)
Lineage: Eukaryota; Metazoa; Chordata; Mammalia; Artiodactyla; Suidae
Source: RefSeq, a predicted model, not a curated record
UCAAACCUGCAUCCUCAUGGUUAUUAGGGUUCAUUACCGCUGAGCCACAAUGGCUUUCAUUUUAAAGAUGAGAGACAUGAACACCCCUAUGAGGGGAAGUGAUUUGUCCUUGGUUACGUAAGCAGUUAUUGACUGAUAUAAAGUGAUAGAACCCAGGGCUCCUUAUGCCUCUUCAGUCUGUAGCACAUUGCUCCCCCCUCCUUUUUUUUUUUUAAUCAUCAAAGGCAUAUUACAUCUGUCACACCCUUCUAGUGUUUCUUCCUAAAGAACAAUGGGUGACUAGCAAGUUGGAGAUGCAUCUAGGUUUUCUGCAUAACUAUUCUGUAAUUUAGUAGGUUGUCAAGUUAAUUUCUUUUGAUUGCUUUAUCAAUUUAAUUAUUUUAUUGAGGUAUAAUUUAUAUAUUAUAAAAUUCAUCCCUUUUAAGAGUACAAGUCAAUAAAUUUUAGUAUGUUUGUAGUUAUACAACCAUCACCACAAUCUUGUUUCAGAUCAUUUCCAUCACCUUAUGUCUAUGUGAAAAUUCAUUCAUUAAUGAAUUUGUUGCAUUUACAGUAAAAAUCUAACUCAAUAUAUUUUAUAUUUUUCAGCUAUACUGUAAACCAGGCACUGUGCUAAAAUUUUUAGAAGGAGUCCCCAUUGUGGCUGGGUGGAAACAAAUCUGACUAGCAUCCAUGAGGAUGCAGGUUCGAUCCCUAACCUUGCUCAGUGUGUUAAGGAUCCAGCAUUGCUGUAGGCUGCAGUGUAGUUUACAGAUAAUGCUAGGAUCUGGCUUUGUGGUGGCUGUGGUGUAGGCCAGAAGCUGUAGCUCUGAUUCGACCCCUAGCCUGGGAACCUCCAUAUGCCUUGGGUGCGGCCCAGAAAAGACAAGAAAAAAAAAAAAGAAAAAAAUAGAAAAAAAAAUUGUUACAAAACACUUUUGGUCCUAUGUGUCUUGUACUUGAGCUGUGACAUAUAUUAAAUAAUGCAUGAAAAAUGCUGUAAUAGAUGUAUGAACAAAGCGUGCUGGUGAUGCAGAGGAAAAAAAUUCAUCAGUAUGUAGUAUAAUCUAAUCAUCUAUAGUAAUAAGUUAUAACCAUAAUAACAUUAAAAUGGUUGUCAAUUAUGAAACUUAGUGUGUGGCAGACAGUGUGCUAAUUAUUUUGCGCAUAGAAUGUAAUUUAAUUCUAAUACUAGUUUUACAGAAAAUCUGUCCCUGCUAUUUUACAUUCAAAAAUUAUGUUAUUUAAAAUGACAUAUAAUUUUAAACCAAUUUGAGAAAUUUAUAUUAGCUAUCUACAUACAAAUCACCCGUUGAUAACACUAAAAAGAGGAGUAGCCCUGGCACUUACAUGUCUAGUAGAGGAAGGGUGUAUUCACAAAGUACUACUUUACAGAGAUAGAAUAUUAUCAUAUCCAUUCAAAUAGUUAUGAAAUCAUAGAAAAGGGGCAGAUUAUAACUUAAUGAAAUUAGGGAAUUUUCCUUGUAAAGAUGGCAGUUAUGCUCCACCUUGAAGAAAGGGGAAAAUCUUAAAGCUAAAAAUGGAUAUUGGUAAGGCAAUAACUUAUUGUCCAUAUUUGGACAACAGGAGAGAUAAUUCUACUAUUAUACUGAUGCAAUAGGAAUAAACUGGGAUUGACUUGGGAAAACUGGGAUAUGUGAUCAUCCUAGUCAUUGGAGGAAAGACAGGAUAGGUGGAAAAGACAUGAGCAAAAGCUCAAAGUUGGGAAAGGAGAUGGCCCUUUAAGGUGAUAGCAUAUAAAAUGAUACAGUGAAGUUUACCUGAAGAUAUAGAUGAAUGGGAAGAUGGAGACUUUGGGUAUUCAGUGGCCAACAGGCUGGAUCUUAGAGGUCCUCACCCAGCUCUCAAAUCCAUUUUCUUUCUCCAUGUGGAAACUUUUUUCUCUCACUCUUGCUUCAAGUACACUGGUUUUUCUACUACUGUAGUCCAAGUUAUAUUUCUAAUCUCACUCCCCCCUUUCCUAGCUCAGUUUUUUCUAUUUUUAUAGAAAAACAAAUUUUGCAAACUUCUGUCUCCAAAUCCUAUCAGCUAAUUAUUUGAGUCUUUGUUUCUGGUCAAAUGCGAGCUGGGGGAUAAUGGUGAGUUAUAAUACGGCCAUACAAUUAAUCUGUUAUUGUUGUUACCUAGUUAUAACUAGGGUAGUGGUGGGACUGGAAAAAUUCAUGAAUGAGGGACACAUUUGUUUUGAAUGCCAUUCCUGUGGUCCAAUUUCAAAACGAAGGACCUCACAGAGUAGAGAAAUUAAUUUCAACAAGGAACAUAGGUAACAUCGUCACAUAUGGCAAAGGAAUUGGGUAUUUUCUAGGGAGAUCAAUUAAGACUCUGGAAUGUGAGAAUAACCAAAAGGAGUGGUGAUGGAUGACAUAUGGUACUGAAAAAGAAUCUUAGUAUAGUUUUGUUUAGAAAAGGUCCUGUGAACAAAUUAGCAGCACUAAAAACCUAGGCCUAAUUUAAAGAGCAUUUAAUUUGAAGAGCUUGAGCUCUUUCUUUCACAGAAGCUGCCCAUGCACCUACUUAGACAUCUGCUAUUUGAUCUUCAACUUGAGAGAAGACAUAUUUCACCAGCUCUUUUGCUCUAAGUAUUAUGUAGGGUCUUCCCAUGAAGCACCAGGAAAAAUUGUAUAUGAAAAACUAGCAUGGGGCAUGUACAUUGGGAUUUAUUUCAAGAUAUUGCCUGGAAGUUAAAAGUCGCCUAAAAUGAAGACCUGAAGAAACUUCAGCUAGUUUACUAUCUAUAAACACUUCACUGUGCAUAAUAAAAAACAAUUGUCCAAGAGUUUCAGAGCCUAUAUAACUCAAAUUUCCACAUAAAAUAUUAAUAUUAAGUAGCUUUAAAGUAAAGUAGGACCCUGGUUUCUUGUGCUUCUAGAGCAAUUCAAUAAAGACGCCUUUGUAAUAAACUGGCAACGUUUCAGAGAUAUCCACCGAACAGCUUCAAGAUGAAAAGAAAUGACCUUUAUGUAUACGAGGCUAAUUAAAAUAGAACUUGUAGUUUAGACUCCUCAUUUUCAUUUUAAGUCAGAAUGUAAUACAGAUAGUUAAAACAAUAUAAUGAUAUUUUUAUUCCAGCUAUGCUCCCAUGAAGUGGGUAUCAACACAGUGGAACCAUUAUUAUUCCGGUAAAAAUGAAUCAGCAUUGAGUGUCUGUCAAAAUUUUUCAUGGUCCAAUUAUGAAGCCAUAUUAGCUGUAGUUUAUUUAAGCUUCCAGCACACAAUAAGCCCUAGAGAGAUUAUGACUAAGAACAUAAAUAUAGCAUAACAAUAAUGAAAGAAAAAAAUUUUUUUGAAAGGCUGUAUAAUUUAACCCAAAUAAAGAACACUGGACUUCAUUGUCCAACCUAAUAUUUUAUAAAUGAAGAAAUUCAGAAUCAAUGAGCUAAGUGAUUUAUUCAAAAUCACACAACAAAUCAGCAACCAAUCUAGAACUAGAAUGCAUGUGAUUCUAGAGUAAAACUAAAGUAUAUUAACAGGAAGUGUUCUUCAAUGACUAUUGCUAUGCUUAGCUGUGACUUGCUGGUAAAACAUCUUUAGAGAAAAAUGUUUUAAUUAGAGAUGAGUGGACAAAUCUCUCUCUCUGCCACUUAGAAACUCUGGCCAUGUCACUUAAUCUUAGGGUCCAAAUUUACUUGUUGGCUAGUGGAGAUAAUAUCUGCCAUGCUUCCUUCUUAGGUUUCUUAUAAACAUAGAACAAAUUUCUUUUUUUUUUCCAGAAAAAAGAAAAAAAAUAUUUCAGGGGAUAUACAGAUGUUACAUACUCAGAACUUCAAAAACAUAACCUCACCCAGGCUUGAUGUGGCCUCGGAAUCUUCUAACUGGAUUUGGGUCAAAAGACUUUUACUGAACCAGGUUUGUUUUGCCUGACACACAGCAAGCCAAAGUGCUAGGAUGCUGAGGAUGCAGCAAAGAGAGCAUUUAGCCCAAGCAAGGAGGUGGGAGAACAAACUCAAAUCCCCUUCCCUGAAGAGUUGGAAUUCUGAAAAACGUGGAACAGAGUUACAAAGCCACAAGCUAUGGCUUCACCAAGUAGAAAUUUCAUUCUUCCAGGUGCAAGAACUGCAGUUUGCUCUGCCUUGGACUCUCUUCCCUGUGAUUUGAAGGAUGAACAUUUUUAGGGGAAAAAUUGUCUUCUCUCAUUUUAAUCUGUCAACCCUGCUUCCAGAGCUCUGCCUAUACACAGGAGAGACCCAUUGGUAUAGCAGGUAUAAGUGAUGUCCUUUUGUGACCAUUAUCUCUCCUCUAUCAAUUUUACAUGUGAUCAUGAAAAACAUGUUUUCAAAGGUCUCUGAAACUGCAGCUGCAAAAACUUUGUUAGUCUACAUCUUAGAGCUGGCAUCCACUUAGACGCGGCAGUCUAUUUUUCCAAUCCGAUUUCAUGUCAAUUGCUACUCUCUUUCUCCACUGCAUCCUGCUCCUCCCCCGCCCACCUUGAAAAGCAAACUGCUUCUUGCUGCUGGGUGCACCAGAAACAUAAGUGAACUGCAGCGGGUUGGUGUUCAACCUCCACGCCACACAGCUCUGCCUGACUGAUUUACAGAGACUGUGCUCACGAUGGCUGUCCUGGGGCCAAUAAAGAUUUUAAAAGGAGGGGAUUAUAGAGAAAGAAUGGCCCAGGCAUUUUCAUGAGAGUUUCUCUGUACUCCAGAGGAGUCUGAGUUUCACAGGAUGGCAAGAUCAGCUAUAAACCACAUCUUUCUGGACUGUGGAAUGUAGGGUUCCCCAGGCAUAGCUGGAAGGGGCUGGGAGGGGGCAGUUAGACAGAGAGAUUAUAAGGCCCUGGAGGAGACCCUCAAACAAUAGAAAACAUAAGGUCUGUCUUUCAGGAGUAUAAAGACUAUUCUGGAUAAGUAGUUAGGACAAGAGAGAGGGUAGAUAAAACUUCAGGUCAUUAAAAUGGUACAUGAUAUAUGAUUGUCAUGGGCAGCAAUUGUGAAUAAAAUUGGAGAGGAAAACAUUUCUUUCCAGAAGGUUCUGGAAAGGUUUCAGAAGGAGAGUAGAAUAUGACUUGGAUUUCAAAAGAAUCAGCAUCACAUCAACUUAAAGAUUAUAGUAGACAUAAUUGUUAAUAUAAAAAUCCCCCAUUAAAACAAAAAUGUAACAAAAAAACCCCUACUUUUAUGUUCCCUUUCAAUCUGGGACUAUGCAUUUCAGAGUUAAUAUAGUGUGCCAAAAAUUAUGUAUUGUGCCUUUUUUACAUACAUUUUGAACAUAGUUUGUAGACACUGUAUAGGUGUCUGCAAAACAGCAAUGUACAAUAGCAUGAUCAGAUUGUUGUCUUGUUUUAGUUUCUGUGACUCUCCCAGAUUUAGCACUGAAAUUCCUGCAGCCAGAAACCUCUUUCCCCACGCACACAGUCUCAACAGAAAUGUUGGUCAUCCUAAUAAAAAGACCCCAACUUCAUGGAAAAUUACAAUCUGAUGGAGGCAGGACUGUAAGCCUCUAAUUUUAGGUGCACUGAGUGUUAGAGUGGAGGUGCAGAGGCUUUGAUAGUGUCUAGUGCCUAGGAAAGAACCCUGAGGAAGUUAUAUUUCAUGAAGUUUGAAGAAGAGUGAGUUAGGGGAAGAACUCCCUUAAAUUAUGCUAUAGUUACGAACACACCCACUGUGGGAAGUGAAAUUACACUCUUGAAGUUGGUUUUUAACCUAGAAGCAAAAUCCUAGGAGAACAUGGGGUUGAUCAUACGCUUAGACAGGCUAGGAGAGUUCUGUCCACACAUGACUGUGUAUUAGUAGAACUACAUAUUAGUCUUAUUCUUCUGUAAUGAUAAGGUUUGCUAAUUUGUUUGUUUUUUAUGUUGGUAACAAAUUUUGCAAUUUUUCAAUAAUUGAACUUCAGAUAGAAUGCCACCUCAUGAUCACAGUUUAUAUAGAUGAUUUUGUAUAUUUCUGACAAUUUCUCAUAUUGUUUAUAGUUACACAUCCUAUUUAUUUCCUCUUCGAAAAAAAUUGAAACACAUGGCCUGUCUCUUCUCUUGGCAUUUCCAUGCUUAAGAAAUGAUGGCAAUCAUAAAUAAUGCCCCUCCUGACCUUAAAAUGACUCUGUAAGGACAGACUUGUGGCGGUCACAGCAUGUCCAAGGACCUGAGUGAAUAUCCACACUAUAUUCCACCUAGACCAUCCCGCAUUUCUAUUUAAGUACUCUUUCUUCAGAUGUGCUAAUACCAUUGAUUAAGCUACUGCUUACUGCUUUCCCUUGUAGUCCAACUUUUAGAUUUUUCCCAUGGUUUUUUUAUUUUUUUUUGUUUGUUUGUAUGCUUUGUUUUGUUUUGUUUUGUUUUUUGCCUUGGGAAAUAUUCUACAAGGAAAGUUGCUUUCUAAAACAGUCAAAUAUUAGCCAUUAGGAUUUUACUAGUGAAGCUCUCAGAGACUGUGGGGCAUCGCACUCAUUCUCACAUGUUUUAGACAUAUUUCUCUAUUGAUACUCUCUCUUCAUCCAUCUGCUACCUUGCUCCUCAAAGAAAAUUUUAUGUAGGUAGUGCCUCCAUAGGCUUCCAAUAUUUUUGCCAAUGCCUGCACAGGAAUAAUGUGACCAGCCCCAAUGGGAAUCUUAAAAGUAGAAGUCAUCCUUGACCCCAGAAAUUGUCAUAAUGCACUGUUUAUUUCCCAAUGAAGGAUAGAAAGAAAUAAAGAGUUUUUAGUUGAGGGGAGAGAGAAAUUUUUAUGUAGUCCAGGAACAUUGAAUAAAAGAAAAUAUUUGAUCAGGAUUUUGAAAAAACAAGAAGAGUGGCGCUCCAAGUAGAAACUGCUGUUUCCCUCAUCAGCAUAUUUUCAUGAAUAAUGGUAAGGUGUGGUAGUAUUAUUUUGCUGAUGUGAUUCAUAUACUCUUUGGGGCUUCACAUCAAGCCCACUGACCCUUUCAAAAAGGCUUUCAGAAUGUUUUCAGACAAGCAACUUCUAACCUGGAUAAUAGUAACCUGGGGUGAAAUGUUUGUCUCUCCAUUUUUUUUCAAGUUCAUGAAUCUCUGGUUAGCCUGGCCACUGUGCCUUAUCUAAAGAGGGGAUAAUAUACAAUGUUCUCUCAGGGAGACAAAUGAUGGGGCAUGAGACUGUGGCAUGGAGCUGAGGAAUAAGGAAAAAGUCCUCUCAUGAUUGAGAUACCUGAUGAGGUUACACAUAUCCUUGCAGAAUACCCAGUCAGGCACAAAUACAGCUUUAUUUCACCACAAAAUAAUAAAUCAUAAAGAAGAAUGUGCUAAAUUUUUUUUCCAAAUUAAAUUUUCAUUGAUACUCAACCUUCUGAAGAAUAAGGUGAAGCUAAGACAGACAUUUAUUUGGUGAAGGCUUAAAAUAAAAUUUCAACUGAGAAAAAAAUAAUAACAAAAAAUGCAAGUUUAAUGUCUAACAAGACAUGCAGUAUGUAAUUAAACUCAACUUUAUCAGCUCCAGCAUUCAUUAAGGGAUUCUAAGCCUGAGGAGCUAUGAAGUUCUUUAAGAGGCAAUCAAUAAUCCAUUACAAUUGUGACACCAACUCUGAACCUAAUUACCAGCAACAGAAUAGUUGUGGCCCAUUUAAAAAGAUAGUUCCUAUUAUUAGAGGUGAGCAAAGGUAUGUGGGGGUUAAUCGACUUUGGCUUGUAUUUCACCAAACCUAUACCUUAAUUUUUUCCUUUAUAAUACUAUUGAGGAAAAAUGCUAAUUAGAGCUGUUCAUUAGCCUUCUGUGUUCUUUCUAACCUUGAACGCCAUGUUUGUUCUUUCUGAAAACCUUGCUUUUCAAGUAUUCUGAGAGUGGAUCAUUUAAUUUUAUGGUAUUUUAUAGGAUUUCCACUAAAUGUUUCUUGUUUUCAGCAGCCUCGUGAGUUGCUUUCACCAGUCUUUCUUUCAGUGCUCCUUAAUUUACUCUGAUAGAAACCCACUCCCCUAAAGCCAUUUGCAUUUGGAUCUUUGGAGUGACAUUGUCAUUGAACAUUCUGUGUUGACUCUUCUACGUGUCUGUAGUGCUAGAACAGAUUUGAAAGAGUCAAAUUGUGUACAUGCUACUACCUUGUGUUACUGAUGUUACUACUUUCUUACUUUGGGUUCCACAGAAGAAAAUCUUGAGACAGGAUUUGAUGUAAGUAAUUUAUUUGUAUGGUAAAGAGAACCCCAGUAGGAAUUGUGGACAUAAAAGAGUGAAGAGAAGACAGCCUACAAAGAAUGAUAUUCAUCAAGCCAGGUUUAGUAUGGGCCAUUGGAAUUUAAUCCUACUGGGCAAAUUCUGGAGGCCAGGAAAAAACACACACCCUCGAGAUUUCUGCCCAACAGGCUGAGGAGCUGAGUGUCAGUUAUGAGGAGCUCCUGUCAGUUAUGGCUCAGGAUUGCUCCCAGGGUGCAUAAUUCCCUGUUCUGUCACUUGGAUCACAAAGUGCUCAAGAGCUAAGAGAAUGCCCUCAGUGUUGGCAGCUGGAAGUCAGGCAGUGUGUACUGAUGUGGCAAGGGCAGGGGAUGUGGAGAAGGUGCUCAAACCUUCUGCUCCACCCACUGCUAGUGGGGCUUCUGCCUACACCUGCCAAAGUACUUGAGGUCUAGAGGACUUUGAUUAGACUCUAACAUUCCCAGUGAUCCUUGUUGUCCUUGCAGACAUUUUAAAUUUACAAAUUUACAUGAGUAUUAGUAGCUGGUGAAAUGGGCUUGAGAAAUAGCUAUAGAAAUAUGACAGGAAAGGUCUUGGCAGGACAAGAAGCUACACGACUUAAGGAAGGGAGAGGCAAUAAAACACAGUGACUGUUACUGACAAUUAUCUAUACAGUUACUACCAGGGAUAGAAAGAAUCAUGCAAGGAGAUCAUUUUGCUAAUUUCUUGUAGCACCCAAAGAAUCAAAAUCAGGUAAUAGCCUAUGAUUAGACUGGGUGACGUGUGCAAGAUUCUGUGUGUGUGUGUGUGUGUGUGUGUCUGCACACCUGCAUGUGCAUGCCCAUGUAUGAGCCAGAGAGUUCAUGAUAUGUGGAUAUAUAGCUGGGAGAUGGAUCCACAAGACUGCAAAUCAGGGCUAAUUUUUCUUGCUCAGUUUUUACAUUAGGCUCCACACUAUAAUGCAUGGGUCCCCACUUGUCCCUUGUCAUAAAAUACUGUUCUUCAGAUUUAUUUUCAAAACCACAACCUGUCUCUGAAGGCUGAAAGACUCCAAGUAACGGUAUUAUUUUAAUGAAGAAGCAGAAGGACAUCUUAAGGAAUUCAGCUGAUUAUCUCUAACACAACCCACGAGGUUUUUCUAUGAUCUCAGUUUUCUUUUGAAGAGUGUUAUUUUGGGGAGCCACAUCAGCAUGUGUGAGGUUAGACUUCCAGAUUGAGUGAGAGUGAGAAAAAUCAGACUUAGCUCUUCAACAAGGAUUGCUCAGUUGUCUUUCUGGGAUUGUUCAUAAGCCAGUGCUUAUGGUGGCAAGUGCUGCAAUGAUGUUUAUUUACCUGCGUGGCCUAGAUAUGGCCAUUUAAGGAUUAUAUUCUUCAUAUGCCUACAAUGGAAUCCUGUGAAACAAUUUAGAAUCUGAAGGUUUCUUUCGUUUUGAUUGAACCUUGAUCCAGUAUUUUUUUUUCCAUUUAUUUUCUUCUUCUCAAGGACCAUGAGUAUACCUUAAAACAAUUUUAUGUACAAUAGUCUUGUGGAUGCUAAUUAGGAAAUAAUCGGCCUUUGUAGUCUUUUGGAAUCUCCUAGGAAAUUAACAUAAUUGGCUAUUUCUUGCAUGCUGAAGUUUCACACCCUUGAUGAAGGACACAUUCAUCUUGCAUUGAUCUUUCCUCAAUUCCUCAUCCCCCUUGUUCUUUGCGCCUAAUGGGUAUUCAAUAAAUCCUGGUUAAAAUAAAUGCAUCUUCUAAAUUGUUCAAAGUCAGUCCUUUAGUCUUCUGUCCAGUUAACACCCUAGAAUAUUUCAAAACAGUUGAGCUAUUUGUUCACUGGUCCCUUUCAGCUACCAUGCCAUAUAAAUCCCACUGUAAACUCAGUUUACUCAGGCCUUAUGGAGGUAGGCAGAAUGAUAUUAACCCAAGCCAAGAGUGGGCUUUGGGAUUAGAUUUGUUGCUUUCAAUUUGGAAUCUGUUAUACCUGAGAGUACAUGUUCACUAAGCCUUAGCAUGUUUCUCCCAUGGUGGCAUAAGAUGUAUGGUUGUGACUUGGCCUUGAUUUUCUUCCCUAAUUAGCAUCUACUUCUUUACUAGACCUGCACCUAGUUUAGAUUCCAACUAAGCUGGGACCUUGAUACCUUGCUUAAAUCAUGCUAGUACAUUCUCCAAGGGGCUGGAGCAUAUGCAAAAAACUUAAGCUAUUGUCUGUAGUUCUCCUAUGAAUGUAUUUAGGACCAAAACUAUUCUUUCACCAAACACUUGACCUAAGGAAUUUGCUGUCACUUAUAUCCAUUACACUGAAUCAUGCUGAUUAAAUUUGAUCACCCCAGUUUUAUAUUUCCCUUAGCCAUUCAAAUAAUAAAACCUAUUGGAUUAUUUAUUUAUUGAUCCUCUUACCCUUCCAUGAGGACCACUCUGCCCCAGGCACAAUAUUGCAAGAGAUUCUGUCUUUUCAACCUAUAUUUUGGAUUGUCAACUACUAUACCUAGAGCUAGAGCUGGUUCUACACCCAGUCACUUUCCCUCCUAUCUUGUUUUUCACCCAUACCCAGUUGUCCUCCUCAUCAGCUCACUCAUAGACGUUCUUAUUUAUCCUAUAUCCAGGCCUACCCAUCUCACAAGGGCUCAACUAACUUUAGUCUUUAUAUAGUCCACCUACUCUUGCCAAGUACAUCCUAUUGUUUCUUUAUAGUUUAUAUGGUAGUUACAGUUAAUAAUUGAUUUUGUAUCCUUAUAGGAAGAAUAAAGUCAUAUAAAUUAAUUAAUUGGGGGUAUAUUUAUUGAAUACCUAGUAAGUGUCAGGCACAGCAGGAUACAGUGAACAAGACAGACAAGACCCCUACUCUCAGGAAGGUUACAUUCUAGCAAGGGUAGCAUUCAUUUAAUGAGGAUCCUCAAUCCUUCAUUAUUCCCAGGUUCCACAUUUACAAAUUUGCCAACUCACUGAAAUUUGUUUGUAACCCCCAAAUCAACACUCGCAGCACUUUCACAGUCAUUUAUAGACAGGCAGAGAGCAGCAAAGAAUUUGAGUUGCCCAAUCCCCAUGAUUCCAGCUGAAAUAUACAAAACGACAUUGGCUUUUGUUUCAGUUUAUAUGCUAUAAACAAGUAUCCUUUUCAUGAUGCACUAAGUACCAUGUUUUUUGUAUUUUUGUUGGUGAGUUUGCUUCUUAAAAUGCCCCCUGCCCCCCAACCUAUUGCUGUCUAGUGUUCCUAAGCAAGAAGACUGUGGAACUGAGAAGAUGCUUGUGUUAAAUAAGCUUUAUUCAGUCAGGAUUAUAGUGCUCUGAUUUCAAUGCUAAUGAAUCAAUAAUAUAUAUUUUCAAAAGCUCUUUAAACAGAUAACACACGUAAACAAGGUUAUGGAUUGAGCAGAGAUUCGCAGGAAUGUAACUCUGUAUUUGCUCAGGAGCAGUGCUUCAGUAUUCACUAAUUUAGUGAGUGACUUUAUGGAACAUAAGUACUGUGACUAAUCCACUGUAUUUUUUAAUAAAACCUCUUCAUUUGCUUAUGUGAUAAGUAUUACAAAUUAAUGGCACUCCAUACCAUGAGAGUGUAUAAGAGAGGGACUUCAUCUGAGAGGGUAGGAAAGGCUUCCCUGAAAAGUAAUGUUUUAGCUGUGACAUAAAAGAGAUGUGGGGAUUAGCUGAGCCCAGAGUGGAAGGAAGGACACUUCAGAUAGAAGCAAUAGCGUAGGCAAAGUCUUAAGGCAGGAAAGAGUGUGAUUUGUUAGAGAAAAAAAGAAGGCCACAGUGAGAGGAUAAUUGUGUAUGUGGAGAAGAGAAUGAUGAAAGGCAAAGCUUUAAACAUGGACAGGGGACAGUUCAUGAAGGACCUUGCGGGCCAGGCUAAGGAUUGGAAUUUUACUAAAGAGCAAGGGAAAGAUGCUGAUGAAUUUUUGUUGAAGGACUGAUCAUUCUUCUUUUCUAGGAAUAAUGGAGUAAAGACAAAGUGGAAAUAGUGUGAUGAUGAAUUAAGUUGUGACAAUGGGUAUAGAGAAAAUAUGAGGAAGUAUACAUAGAAACAGAUUUAUAAGAGAUAUGAGAGGUAAAAAUGACCACAUUCAUUGACUGAGGAGACACAGAGGCUGGGGGUCAAGGAGGAUAAACUCAUUAGGCUCAUCUGAGUAGACGAUUUCUGAAAUGGCAGAGCUAUUGAAGAAGACCACAAUUAGAGAGGAUGUAGUAAAUUUUGUUUUCAAUGAUGGUUACGACAGGAUCUCCCAUUUUGUCUGCUUUUGUGCAAUAUGACCUUCCCACUGCCACUUAAGAGGUGGGAUGUUUUCCCCUCUCCUUGAAUCUGGGCUAGUUUGUCUAACAGAAUACAGUGAAAGUAAGGUGGUGCUGUAUUGUUUCUGAGACUGGACCUGAAGAAAAUCACAACUUCUGCCUUCAUCUCUUGGAAUAUUCCUUCUUGGAAUCAAGACGCUAUCCAUGAAGCAACCCAAGCUGCUCCAUGGAGAAGCUCACCUGCAGGAGAACCUGAUCAUCCUAGUUGACUUCCAGCAUCACCUGCCAGGCUUAUGAGUUUUGGACCUUCCAGCCUUCUUAGCACCUAGUGACCCCACAUGGCGCAAAAGAAUCUUCGGAUAACUUUCAGAAUCAUGAGAAAAAAUUACUUCCUAUUUUAAACCAUUAUGUUUUAGAGUGAUUCAUUGUAUAGCAGUAGCUAUCCAAAACAGAGGUAAUAGGAAUUCAGUUUAAGGAAUGUCCAUGAGAUGCUGUGGAACAUUUCAGUGAAGAUGAUUCUCAGGGAGCUGGUUAUAAAGUCUGGAAUUAAGAAGUGACAUCUGAGCUAGAGAAUAUAAAUUUGGGAGCUGUCAGCAUAUACAUGGUAUUUUUAGCCAUGGAAGUUGAUCAAACAAACAAAAACUAGCAAGAACAUAGAGAUAAAAAAAGUAAGGUAGAAUUAGAACUAGGUUUUGAAGAAAUUUAACAUUUAACGGCCAUGUAUGGAAAAGGAGAAACCAGAGAGAUUUUUAUUUGUACCACAAAAGCCAAGAAAAGAAAGAGACUAUUUCCAGAAAGAGGAUGUGAUCAAUAGUAGAUUCAAAAGCUAAGAGAAAUUAUAUAAAAUGAGUUCAAAGUGUAUCACUUAUUGAUUUAGAAUCAAGGCGGUCAUUGAUGAGUCAUCUCAGUAAAUUUCCAGAGUACUAUGAUUGACUUCUUACAUUGUUGUUAAUAUUUUUAUUUUAACCUUUUUAGGUAUAAUGGUUAACAUUGCAUCCUUAAGUGUAUGUAAGACAUUGUAUUGGACUCUUCAUAUAUUAUGUCAUCUCUAAUUUAAUCGUUAUAACAACCAUUUUUGAAACAACUAAAGUUUAAAGAAAUUGAGUGAGCUCCCUAAAAUUAUUUAGCUAGUAGGUGUCCAGAUAGCCUCUGUUCUUUUCUUCAGCCCCCACACCAUCUCCAUCCCCUACCCUCAGGCCCAUCAUAUUUAUGACCCCAAGUCUACAGAAGGAAACGAAGCCACAUAUCUGAGUUUGAUAUGAUUGUGUCCACAAUAAAAGGAAAAGUAGCUGUUACUGAGAUAUUAUUGUUCAUUAUUUUAUGUAUAAUAAUAUUUACUUUCUUAGAUUUUUUAAGAGUCCCUAUCUUUUAGAGGUACACAGUGAAAUAUUUACAGAUGAGUUCUUAUAUAUUGCAUAUGUUUCAAAGUUAUCUGGUUGAGAGGGAAAGUAUGUAGGUAUGAGUGAAACUAGAUUGGCCCUGUGUAGGUAUAGAUGAAACUAGAUUGUUAAGGCUAGAUGAUGAGUAAAGAGGGGACCAUUGUACCAUACUCUCUGCUUUUCUAUAGUUUGAGAUUUUUUUUUUAAUAGUAAGUUAAAAAAGUAAGUGUCUUAGUGAGGUUCUGAGGCCUUUCCAGUGAAUAAAAGUGCAUGGGCUUUGUAAUAGCUAUUUUGGUGCUUAGAGCUUUAUUUCUAUUGUUUUUUUCUCUAGUGUUGUGGAUAGCUAGAAGUGAUAGAUAAAUGGCCCUGGACAUAGAUAGAAGGAACUAUUUAUUACGUACUCUAUAAAACCUGGAAAAAGAAAAAAAAUGAAUCUCAAAUUUUAAUUUACCGAAUAAUCAUUAAAUGUGACAUUUAUCAUUAUUCUAUAAGCUGAGUAGCAUUUGUGAGAUGACAAUUAAUUAGCUGGAUAGUUUUAUAAAAUGUAUGUUGCUUCUAAUCAUUAUGGCCCACUUUCCUUGUUUAAUACAAAAUCAGAAGCUCAUAAAUGCAUCAGAAAUCUCUCUGGAUUUGCUGUUGCAUGGUUCCACAGGCAUUUUUCCCUGGAGACAUGGUAAUUUUACAACUUUUAAAUAUUCAACCAACUCUAAUUAUAAAUAGUUCUCUUUCAAAAGCGAUAGCCAGACUUUUGGCACAAGUGCUUCUCAUUAUGGGGUAAGGAUGACAGUGUAAUGACUGAUGAUGUGUGUUAGAUUCCCCCAUUUCUCUUAAUUAUAAUUUUCUCUGAAUUAUCGUGUUUUGUAACUAAUCAGCUAAUUCCUGACACUGGUUAAUGUGAUCAGGAAUGAUUUUAACUUUGUGUUUCAUCUGGAGAAACAGACAGUCUGUGUGGUAACCUGUGCAGGCAGAGGAAGAAAACUCGUCAACUCCUUCCAAUUUCUCUGUUCUGUUUGGGUUGGUCAGGAUAUGAGGACAGAUAAGUGAAAGGGGAGUAUGCUUUGUGCUCUUAGAAAUGGAGGAAUAGAUACAGAGGGGAAAAGAAUGCAGCUUGGGAUAGAAGGCAAUGAGAAGGUUAGAGAAGGUGACCAUAUGGAGCCAUAAAUCAGUAGCUACCCGGGCAACAAAGCUGACCCUGGACAUCUGGUUUGGGACUUAGCCAUUAUUUAUUGAACACCUGCUGUGAGCAUAGCUCUGCCAUGGCUACUAUUAGGGGAAUACGAGAGACUCCAGAGACCUUUUCCUUGCCUUCAAUUCUAGUUAGAAACAACAGGCCAUCUACAGUUUAAUAUCCUCCUUGAAAGCAAAGUCUUGGUCUCUUUGGCUCACCCUUAUAUCCUGUUGCCUGGUAGUGGGUAUAGCUCAUAGUCAUUACCUUUAAUAAAUGAUUUGCUAAGAAAUAGAUGGAUGGAUGAAUAAAUGAAUGAUUAUGGGGCCACUAAUGAAAUGUUAAAAUAACCCACUUCAAACUAAAUAUGCAAAUGCUGACAGGGAAGUCACAGACUAUGACCAGAAUGAGGAUCUACAAGACGAUGUCAGGCUUCUAAAAAGCCCACCUUGAAUCCCAUUCCUCUUCCAAUCCCAAGACAAGUUAAAGAAAGAUAAAGACUAUGGGCAUUAAACUGCCCAGGCCCCACUGAUGGAACUUUUGUGACAGCAGAACUCCUAGGAACCAUCCUCCAGGAAGGUGAGAGUGUCUAGUAGUUAUGAGGUGAGAGAGUUUGAGCUCCUCAGAGGUUGCAUGAACACUCAUGGGUUGGCCACCUGAGCGAGGAGGCCAUGUAGCUUUACCAGAGUUCUAAGUGAGGUGGAUGCAGGAUGUAGCUGGAUCUUAAGAUUUUUUUUGACUUUGUGUUGUGGCCAAUUCUGAGCCUUUUGAAGCAUGAGGAGAUAAUCUUUCAGAGGUCAUUUUUUACAGUGUCCUGAAAAAAGGGCUUUCAAAGCCUUCUAUAUGUGACUUGAUGGGUGACCCAUGGCAGUGUUACUGCAACACCUUGGACAACUCACAAAAGUACUAUGCUUUGCCUUCAACCUGUAGAUUUCUCACCAUCAACUAAAGGAGGACAGAGUUUCUUCUCUGGUGCAGCAGGUUAAGGAUCUGGUGUUUCUAUAGCAACUUGGGUCACUGCUGAGGUGCAGGUUUGAUCCCUGGCCUGGAACAGUGGGUUAAGGAUCUGGUUUUCCCACCAUUGUGGCUAGGUCACUGUGGCUUGGAUGUGAUUUCUGGCCCAGGAACUUCCAUAUGUCACUGGUGCAUAUGAAAAAAGAAAACGGAUAAACAAACAAACCAAAAAAAAAAAAAAGUGAGAACUUUGGAAUAGGUUUGAGAAUGUAAUUUUUGUUUUGGAAUCCUCCUCUAGAAUCAGGAUUCAGCAGAAUACCUGACUUGAAAAAAAUAUUUGGAUCCUCCUAUGGGAUUGCUUUCCCUGGAAAUUCACAUUAUAUUUGUCCUUCAAAUUAGUGGCAUAUAUGAAGAAAAGAAAUUCAACUAGAGAAUUUAUGACAAACACUUUCCCAUCCCUCUUCCUAUUAAAGACAUUUGGGAACAUUUUUCUUCUUCCAGUGAGCCUGUAAAAGUUUUGGUAAGCAGAACAUAUUGAUUAAUUACCACCACAUGGCCAGACCUCUGCUUAGGAGAAAAUAUUGUUAUUAUGGACUGAAUUGGGUCCCCUCAAAUUCAUAUGAUGUAGUGAAGCUCUAAUCCCCAAUGUGACUACAUUUGGAAAUAGGGCUUUAUUUAGAUAAUUAACGUUAAAGGAGAUCAUGAGGGUGGGAAUUUAAUCUAACAGACCUGAUGUCUUUAUAAGAUGAACAAGAAACACCAGGAAUGCACAUACACAGAGGAAAGACGAGAAGAGACAGCAAGAAGGCAGAUAUCUGCAACCCAAAGGGAAAAGUUUCACCAGAAACCAACUUUGCCAGCACUCAGAUCUUGGACUUUUAGGCUCCAAAACUGUGAGAAAGUAUAUUUUAAGCCUCCCAGUCUAUGGUAUUAUGUUAUAGUAGCCCUCGCAGACUAACACAAUCAUCUAAAAGUAAAUAAAUAAAACACGGCUUCAGUUGUCAAUGAACUUAACUUCAACUGAGGAGAAAAGACUAAUGUACAUAAAACGGAGAAGAUAUUCUGCCGUGUUAAGUAAUUCCGACCAUAAUAGAAUAAAAAUAAUACGCAAUUUCAUGGUCAACUCUCUAUGCAGUCAUGUCAACUUUAUGCUAGAUCCUUGUUAUGGGUUCAUUUGUGUCAUCCUCUCCCGCCAAUAAAGAUAUGUUAAAUUCUUAACUCCCAGAACUUCAGAAUUGACCUUAUUUGGAAAUAGGUCUUAAAGAAGUAACCAAGUUAAAGUAAGAUCAUUAGAGUGGACUCUAAUCCCCUGUGACUAAUGUCCUUAUAAAAAAGGGACAUUUGGACAUAAAGAGAGACACGCAUAGAGAGAAGAUGGUGUGAAGACCCACAGGGAGGAGGAGACAUGUAGCUGGAGUUUUGUGUCUUCUGGCCAAAGACCACCAAGCAUGCUGGGCAUACACCAGAAGCUGGAAGAGAUGAGGAAGUAUUCUCCAUCAGAGCCAGCAGAAAAAGCCUGGUCCUGAGGACACAUAGAUUUCUGACUUCUAGCCUCCGGUACUGUGAGACAAUAGAUUGCUGCUGAUAUUUGGUUUUGGCAGCCCCAGGAAGCCAACACAACCCUCUUCUCAGAGCCAGAUGAAGGGCAGUUUAACAGGACAGCUUCUCAAUCACUAGUCCACAGGAGGUUUUAAACUAUCACUGGAAUGAUUUAGAAAUUAUAUAACCUAACUCAAGUUUCCUCACAUGGGGUGAAAUGUCCCUGCUGAAAUAGUGAGCCAUCUCUACUGGAAAGAAAUAAAUAGUAAUAAUUUAAAACAUCAUUUGCUAUCACCCAACUAAUGCUGUUGAGUGUUUCAAUAAUGUACACAUGAUUUACAUUGUAACAUCCUAUAAAACAGAUACAGUGAUAAUCUCAUUUUACAGCUCAGGAGAUGAGAGUCAGAAAUUGAUUUGCUUGACUUGAUCUUAGUCAAAUAGCUAGUAAAUUGCAGAGCUGGAUUUCAGACUAAGGUUUUCUAGAGCUAUGUAUUGAAAGGUGAAAGAUUUGGUAAAUAAAGAAGAGAGGAGGAAGUACUUCUGAGCUUGGAGAGUAAACAGAGUUAUUUCCACUAGAGAUAUUUUCAGGCAUACAUAAAAGAGAGAGGGGAGGAGUUCCCGUUGUGGCACAGUGGCUAACGAAUCCAACCAGGAACCAUGAGGUUGCGUGUUCAAUC